AGUGGCGGACGGGUGAGUAACGCGUGAGAAUCUGCCUUGGGGUCGGGGACAACCACUGGAAACGGUGGCUAAUACCGGAUACGCCUUCGGGUAAAAGAUUUAUUGCCCUAAGAGGAGCUCGCGUCUGAUUAGCUUUGGUGAGGUAAGAGCUCACCAAGGCAGCGAUCAGUAGCUGGUCUGAGAGGACGAUCAGCCACACUGGGACUGAGACACGGCCCAGACUCCUACGGGAGGCAGCAGUGGGGAAUUUUCCGCAAUGGGCGAAAGCCUGACGGAGCAAGACCGCGUGAGGGAGGAAGGCUCUUGGGUUGUAAACCUCUUUUCUCAGGGAAGAAGCUCUGACGGUACCUGAGGAAUCAGCCUCGGCUAACUCCGUGCCAGCAGCCGCGGUAAUACGGAGGAGGCAAGCGUUAUCCGGAAUUAUUGGGCGUAAAGCGUCCGCAGGUGGCGAUUCAAGUCUGCUGUCAAAGCACGGGGCUUAACUCCGUAAAGGCAGUGGAAACUGAAUAGCUAGAGUGCCGUAGGGGUAGAGGGAAUUCCCGGUGUAGCGGUGAAAUGCGUAGAGAUCGGGAAGAACAUCGGUGGCGAAAGCGCUCUACUGGACGGCAACUGACACUCAGGGACGAAAGCUAGGGGAGCGAAUGGGAUUAGAUACCCC
RNAcentral lists this ribosomal RNA (658 nucleotides) under uncultured bacterium. RNAcentral's name for it is "bacterial SSU rRNA". It matches the Rfam family "Bacterial small subunit ribosomal RNA", at positions 94 to 788 of the family's 1533-position model. The record is from RNAcentral.